ACUCCUACGGGAGGCAGCAGUGGGGAAUCUUGCACAAUGGGGGCAACCCUGAUGCAGCGACGCCGCGUGAGCGAUGAAGCCCUUCGGGGUGUAAAGCUCUUUCGGCAGGAACGAUAAUGACGGUACCUGCAGAAGAAGCUGCGGCUAACUACGUGCCAGCAGCCGCGGUAAUACGUAGGCAGCAAGCGUUGUUCGGAGUUACUGGGCGUAAAGAGUGCGUAGGUGGUUUUCUAAGUUCGGUGUGAAAUCUCCCGGCUCAACUGGGAGGGUGCGCCGAAAACUGGAAGACUUGAGUGCGGGAGAGGAGAGCGGAAUUCCUGGUGUAGCGGUGAAAUGCGUAGAUAUCAGGAGGAACACCUGUGGUGCAGACGGCUCUCUGGACCGCCACUGACACUGAGGCACGAAAGCGUGGGGAGCAAACAGGAUUAGAUACCCUGGUAGUCCACGCCCUAAACGAUGCAUACUUGGUGUGGGUCAUUCAGUUGAUCCGUGCCGGAGCUAACGCGUUAAGUAUGCCGCCUGGGGAGUACGGUCGCAAGGCUGAAACUCAAAUGAAUUGACGG
Molecule: ribosomal RNA, 563 nt
Filed under: uncultured Acidobacteriaceae bacterium
Lineage: Bacteria; Pseudomonadati; Acidobacteriota; Terriglobia; Terriglobales; Acidobacteriaceae
Description: bacterial SSU rRNA
Rfam family: Bacterial small subunit ribosomal RNA
Source: RNAcentral